GGUUAAGCGACUAAGCGUACACGGUGGAUGCCCUGGCAGUCAGAGGCGAUGAAGGACGUGCUAAUCUGCGAUAAGCGUCGGUAAGGUGAUAUGAACCGUUAUAACCGGCGAUUUCCGAAUGGGGAAACCCAGUGUGUUUCGACACACUAUCAUUAACUGAAUCCAUAGGUUAAUGAGGCGAACCGGGGGAACUGAAACAUCUAAGUACCCCGAGGAAAAGAAAUCAACCGAGAUUCCCCCAGUAGCGGCGAGCGAACGGGGAGCAGCCCAGAGCCUGAAUCAGUGUGUGUGUUAGUGGAAGCGUCUGGAAAGGCGCGCGAUACAGGGUGACAGCCCCGUACACAAAAAUGCACAUGCUGUGAGCUCGAUGAGUAGGGCGGGACACGUGGUAUCCUGUCUGAAUAUGGGGGGACCAUCCUCCAAGGCUAAAUACUCCUGACUGACCGAUAGUGAACCAGUACCGUGAGGGAAAGGCGAAAAGAACCCCGGCGAGGGGAGUGAAAAAGAACCUGAAACCGUGUACGUACAAGCAGUGGGAGCCUCUUUAUGGGGUGACUGCGUACCUUUUGUAUAAUGGGUCAGCGACUUAUAUUCUGUAGCAAGGUUAACCGAAUAGGGGAGCCGAAGGGAAACCGAGUCUUAACUGGGCGUUAAGUUGCAGGGUAUAGACCCGAAACCCGGUGAUCUAGCCAUGGGCAGGUUGAAGGUUGGGUAACACUAACUGGAGGACCGAACCGACUAAUGUUGAAAAAUUAGCGGAUGACUUGUGGCUGGGGGUGAAAGGCCAAUCAAACCGGGAGAUAGCUGGUUCUCCCCGAAAGCUAUUUAGGUAGCGCCUCGUGAAUUCAUCUCCGGGGGUAGAGCACUGUUUCGGCAAGGGGGUCAUCCCGACUUACCAACCCGAUGCAAACUGCGAAUACCGGAGAAUGUUAUCACGGGAGACACACGGCGGGUGCUAACGUCCGUCGUGAAGAGGGAAACAACCCAGACCGCCAGCUAAGGUCCCAAAGUCAUGGUUAAGUGGGAAACGAUGUGGGAAGGCCCAGACAGCCAGGAUGUUGGCUUAGAAGCAGCCAUCAUUUAAAGAAAGCGUAAUAGCUCACUGGUCGAGUCGGCCUGCGCGGAAGAUGUAACGGGGCUAAACCAUGCACCGAAGCUGCGGCAGCGACGCUUAUGCGUUGUUGGGUAGGGGAGCGUUCUGUAAGCCUGUGAAGGUGUGCUGUGAGGCAUGCUGGAGGUAUCAGAAGUGCGAAUGCUGACAUAAGUAACGAUAAAGCGGGUGAAAAGCCCGCUCGCCGGAAGACCAAGGGUUCCUGUCCAACGUUAAUCGGGGCAGGGUGAGUCGACCCCUAAGGCGAGGCCGAAAGGCGUAGUCGAUGGGAAACAGGUUAAUAUUCCUGUACUUGGUGUUACUGCGAAGGGGGGACGGAGAAGGCUAUGUUGGCCGGGCGACGGUUGUCCCGGUUUAAGCGUGUAGGCUGGUUUUCCAGGCAAAUCCGGAAAAUCAAGGCUGAGGCGUGAUGACGAGGCACUACGGUGCUGAAGCAACAAAUGCCCUGCUUCCAGGAAAAGCCUCUAAGCAUCAGGUAACAUCAAAUCGUACCCCAAACCGACACAGGUGGUCAGGUAGAGAAUACCAAGGCGCUUGAGAGAACUCGGGUGAAGGAACUAGGCAAAAUGGUGCCGUAACUUCGGGAGAAGGCACGCUGAUAUGUAGGUGAAGUCCCUUGCGGAUGGAGCUGAAAUCAGUCGAAGAUACCAGCUGGCUGCAACUGUUUAUUAAAAACACAGCACUGUGCAAACACGAAAGUGGACGUAUACGGUGUGACGCCUGCCCGGUGCCGGAAGGUUAAUUGAUGGGGUCAGCGCAAGCGAAGCUCUUGAUCGAAGCCCCGGUAAACGGCGGCCGUAACUAUAACGGUCCUAAGGUAGCGAAAUUCCUUGUCGGGUAAGUUCCGACCUGCACGAAUGGCGUAAUGAUGGCCAGGCUGUCUCCACCCGAGACUCAGUGAAAUUGAACUCGCUGUGAAGAUGCAGUGUACCCGCGGCAAGACGGAAAGACCCCGUGAACCUUUACUAUAGCUUGACACUGAACAUUGAGCCUUGAUGUGUAGGAUAGGUGGGAGGCUUUGAAGUGUGGACGCCAGUCUGCAUGGAGCCGACCUUGAAAUACCACCCUUUAAUGUUUGAUGUUCUAACGUUGACCCGUAAUCCGGGUUGCGGACAGUGUCUGGUGGGUAGUUUGACUGGGGCGGUCUCCUCCUAAAGAGUAACGGAGGAGCACGAAGGUUGGCUAAUCCUGGUCGGACAUCAGGAGGUUAGUGCAAUGGCAUAAGCCAGCUUGACUGCGAGCGUGACGGCGCGAGCAGGUGCGAAAGCAGGUCAUAGUGAUCCGGUGGUUCUGAAUGGAAGGGCCAUCGCUCAACGGAUAAAAGGUACUCCGGGGAUAACAGGCUGAUACCGCCCAAGAGUUCAUAUCGACGGCGGUGUUUGGCACCUCGAUGUCGGCUCAUCACAUCCUGGGGCUGAAGUAGGUCCCAAGGGUAUGGCUGUUCGCCAUUUAAAGUGGUACGCGAGCUGGGUUUAGAACGUCGUGAGACAGUUCGGUCCCUAUCUGCCGUGGGCGCUGGAGAACUGAGGGGGGCUGCUCCUAGUACGAGAGGACCGGAGUGGACGCAUCACUGGUGUUCGGGUUGUCAUGCCAAUGGCACUGCCCGGUAGCUAAAUGCGGAAGAGAUAAGUGCUGAAAGCAUCUAAGCACGAAACUUGCCCCGAGAUGAGUUCUCCCUGAC
Molecule: ribosomal RNA, 2792 nt
Filed under: Escherichia coli
Lineage: Bacteria; Pseudomonadati; Pseudomonadota; Gammaproteobacteria; Enterobacterales; Enterobacteriaceae
Description: partial 23S ribosomal RNA
Rfam family: Bacterial large subunit ribosomal RNA
Source: RNAcentral